GAUGAACGCUGGCGGCGUGCCUAAUACAUGCAAGUCGAGCGAACGGACGAGAAGCUUGCUUCUCUGAUGUUAGCGGCGGACGGGUGAGUAACACGUGGAUAACCUACCUAUAAGACUGGGAUAACUUCGGGAAACCGUAGCUAAUACCGGAUAAUAUUUUGAACCGCAUGGUUCAAAAGUGAAAGACGGUCUUGCUGUCACUUAUAGAUGGAUCCGCGCUGCAUUAGCUAGUUGGUAAGGUAACGGCUUACCAAGGCAACGAUGCAUAGCCGACCUGAGAGGGUGAUCGGCCACACUGGAACUGAGACACGGUCCAGACUCCUACGGGAGGCAGCAGUAGGGAAUCUUCCGCAAUGGGCGAAAGCCUGACGGAGCAACGCCGCGUGAGUGAUGAAGGCCUUCGGAUCGUAAAACUCUGUUAUUAGGGAAGAACAUAUGUGUAAGUAACUGCGCACAUCUUGACGGUACCUAAUCAGAAAGCCACGGCUAACUACGUG
This 497-nucleotide ribosomal RNA is filed under the name uncultured bacterium. Its description in RNAcentral is "partial 16S ribosomal RNA". It matches the Rfam family "Bacterial small subunit ribosomal RNA", at positions 28 to 507 of the family's 1533-position model. The record is from RNAcentral.